UCCAUCUCCACCCCUGGAAAAGUGGCUCGGUGAGGGCGAGGACAGUAUUUGGUCACUGCUGAGCCCCUGGCCCUCUGCUGGCCCACCGCAGGUCCCAGAAAAUACUAAGUGAUGAAUGAAGCAAAGAUUUUGUGUCCCCUGUGGGGACAAGAGGCAGCGAGGGGAUGUGGUUUGAAGACCCAAAUGGUGGAAUUAAGGAAGCAACAGUAGGGGAACAUGCUUGAAACAGGUCAACCAGGGGUGGGGGGCACCUUGGAUGUGUGGUGUCUGGUCUGGCACAACGUCCUGGACAUUUUUGGCUUUUCAAGGUUCUUUCCUUGCUCCCUGAGGCAAGGACAAUGGGUGUUAGCUUCUGGCCCUCCGUCUCCCAGCACGAGCCCGGGCCUGUGUGUGGUGCUAAAAGGCUCUUGAUUAAGAACCAGGGUGCACAACCCAAAUUUGGGGACCUCUUCUCUCAUCGAGAACUUGCACCAAAUUUCAUUCCAAAGCAGGCCCCUCCCUGCCCAGGGCCCUCCCGGCUCCCUCGGAGGCUCUAGAUGAGAUACACCCUCUACCCUUUGGAAUUGCCUUCCUUCCUGGUCUUUAAAGUGAGGCUCUCAACUCACCUCUUCAAGGAGUGAACUCCAGACCUGCUUGCCCCGGGGCCCCUGUGCAUACCCUCCUGACCCCAUGACCCCGGCUCUCCCCCUCUCCACGCCCCCCCCCCCCAGCUUUGUGCCAGACUCGUUUGUUGGGUGUACUUGUGCGAAGAGGAGCCGAGGGCUGGGAGGCAGAGCUGGGUUUGAAUCUCAUGCCAACACUUGCAGCUGUGUGACCUUGAGCAGGUCUCCGAGAGUAGGGGUUUUGUCUAUCUCGUUCAUUUCUGAAUCCCAGGGACCUGGAAGAGGGCCCAGCAUACACUGACUGACUGAAUGGCGGGUAAACAGCCAACGCCAGACACGUGGAGCAUCCCCACAACCCUUGUCAGGGUCAAAGAAAUCCGGACAAGACUAGUAGGGCUACCUGCCAUGGCAGAGGCCCAGGCUCUCAUCCCAGCUCUGCCUCCAAUUUGCUGUGGGUUCUCAGCAUUAUUCACAAUAGCCAAGACGUGGAAGCAACCCAAGUGCCCAGCAACAGAUGAAUGGAUAAAGAAGAUGUGGUAUAUAUAUACAAUGGAAUACUACUCAGCCAUAAAAAAGACAAAAUCAUCCCAUUUGCAACAACAUGGAUGGACCUUGAGGGAAACAGCCAGUGCUGUGCUGGAAAACCGGCCCUGGGGGACGGCAGCCCCGAUGCAUGGCGUUUGUCAGUUUCUGCGGAGUAAGUCAGCCUACCAUGGCCAAGUUCAAGCCCCCAACCUGAGAUCACUGAACACAGAGCUGAGAAGUGAUGCACAGAAUCAGCUCUCAAGAGCCACACCCCUGUCAGCCUAAGCACAGGUGCGACAACAGGGAUGAGG
This 1438-nucleotide long non-coding RNA is filed under the name Equus caballus (horse). RNAcentral's name for it is "lncRNA (ENSECAG00000052832.1)". The record is from RNAcentral. Lineage: Eukaryota; Metazoa; Chordata; Mammalia; Perissodactyla; Equidae.